AAACUGCUAUGUCACAAGAGGCCAAAGACUCCUUGUUAGAGAGCAGUAUUUUGACUUGAUCUUCUGGGAUCUCUCGCAUAAUAAGAGUCUUCUUACCGCCUCCUGGCAGCUCAACCAUAUUGGCAGCAAAUUGCUCAGUUGAUUUAGGUGGAUAGCUCUCAGAAAAUGUCCUUCCAAUAAAUGCAUUUAACAAUGCAGACUUCCCGGCAUUUUUCGGCCCGAAGACAAAACA
RNAcentral lists this unclassified non-coding RNA (232 nucleotides) under Hevea brasiliensis (rubber tree). Lineage: Eukaryota; Viridiplantae; Streptophyta; Magnoliopsida; Malpighiales; Euphorbiaceae. The record is from RNAcentral.